This 468-nucleotide ribosomal RNA is filed under the name uncultured bacterium. RNAcentral's name for it is "partial 16S ribosomal RNA". It matches the Rfam family "Bacterial small subunit ribosomal RNA", at positions 28 to 507 of the family's 1533-position model. The record is from RNAcentral.
GACGAACGCUGGCGGCGUGCUUAACACAUGCAAGUCGAACGGAAAGGCCCUGCUUUUGUGGGGUGCUCGAGUGGCGAACGGGUGAGUAACACGUGAGUAACCUGCCCUUGACUUUGGGAUAACUUCAGGAAACUGGGGCUAAUACCGGAUAGGAGCUCCUGCUGCAUGGUGGGGGUUGGAAAGUUUCGGCGGUUGGGGAUGGACUCGCGGCUUAUCAGCUUGUUGGUGGGGUAGUGGCUUACCAAGGCUUUGACGGGUAGCCGGCCUGAGAGGGUGACCGGCCACAUUGGGACUGAGAUACGGCCCAGACUCCUACGGGAGGCAGCAGUGGGGAAUAUUGAACAAUGGGCGGAAGCCUGAUGCAGCAACGCCGCGUGCGGGAUGACGGCCUUCGGGUUGUAAACCGCUUUCGCCUGUGACGAAGCGUGAGUGAGGGUAAUGGGUAAAGAAGCACCGGCUAACUAAGUG